ACUGUUUACAUAUAAAUUCCUGAGAUGUAUUAUAACAUCAAUUUGGAGCUUUCUGUUUUUGUAGAACCUGCAUACACACACACACAAAGAGCACCAGUGUGCAUGGACACACAGGAUGAAUGGGAAAUAGUUUUGUUAUUGUACUUUUGAUGUAAAGUGACUUUCUAGACAUAAAAUGUCACUUUUUUCACCUUAUUACACUGUAACAUCAACUUUUACAUUUUAAUGUAAACAAUCAUAUUUCGUAAUAUUUUAGGUCAGAAACAUUUCAUAGUACUAUACUAUGUCUAAAUAUGUGAAAAGAAUCAAAUUGGAGUAGGUCGGUCAACUGAUUAUACGAGUUUGUUAGAAAAACCACUUUCCUUUGCUCCUAGCGCCUUCUCGUUCGCUGUAUAGCGUUUUGAGCGGAUAAGGAGCACAAGUGUGCAUGGAGACACAGGAUGAAUGGGAACAAGUUUUGUUAUUGCACUUUUGAUGAAAAGUGACUUUCUAGACAUAAAAUGUCACUUUUUUCACCUUAUCAUACUUUUUCAUCAACUUUUGCAUUUUAAUGUAAACAAUCAUAUUUCGUAAUAUUUUGGGUCAGAAACAUUUCAUAGUACUAUAUUAUGUCUAAAUAUGUGAAAAGAAUCAAAUUGGAGUAGGUCGGGCAACUGAUUAUAUGAGUUUGUUCGAAAAACCACUUUCCUUUGCUCCUAGCGCCUUCUCGUUCGCUGUAUAGCGUUUUGAGCGGAUAAAGAGCACAAGUGUGCAUGGAGACACAGGAUGAAUGGGAACAAGUUUUGUUAUUGCACUUUUGAUGAAAAGUGACUUUCUAGACAUAAAAU
Molecule: long non-coding RNA, 827 nt
Organism: Ictalurus punctatus (channel catfish)
Lineage: Eukaryota; Metazoa; Chordata; Actinopteri; Siluriformes; Ictaluridae
Source: Ensembl